UAAUACAUGCAAGUCGAGCGAACCACUUCGGUGGUGAGCGGCGAACGGGUGAGUAACACGUAGGUGAUCCGCCCAUCAGACGGGGACAACGAUUGGAAACGAUCGCUAAUACCGGAUAGGACGAAAGUUUAAAGGUGCUCCUGGCACCGCUGAUGGAUGAGCCUGCGGCGCAUUAGCUAGUUGGUAGGGUAAAGGCCUACCAAGGCGACGAUGCGUAGCCGACCUGAGAGGGUGAACGGCCACACUGGGACUGAGACACGGCCCAGACUCC
Molecule: ribosomal RNA, 271 nt
Filed under: uncultured Turicibacter sp.
Lineage: Bacteria; Bacillati; Bacillota; Erysipelotrichia; Erysipelotrichales; Turicibacteraceae
Description: partial 16S ribosomal RNA
Rfam family: Bacterial small subunit ribosomal RNA
Source: RNAcentral